This 468-nucleotide ribosomal RNA is filed under the name uncultured bacterium. RNAcentral's name for it is "partial 16S ribosomal RNA". It matches the Rfam family "Bacterial small subunit ribosomal RNA", at positions 28 to 507 of the family's 1533-position model. The record is from RNAcentral.
GACGAACGCUGGCGGCGUGCUUAACACAUGCAAGUCGAACGGAAAGGCCCUGCUUUUGUGGGGUGCUCGAGUGGCGAACGGGUGAGUAACACGUGAGUAACCUGCCCUUGACUUUGGGAUAACUUCAGGAAACUGGGGCUAAUACCGGAUAGGAGCUCCUGCUGCAUGGUGGGGGUUGGAAAGUUUCGGCGGUUGGGGAUGGACUCGCGGCUUGUCAGCUUGUUGGUGGGGUAGUGGCUUACCAAGGCUUUGACGGGUAGCCGGCCUGAGAGGGUGACCGGCCACAUUGGGACUGAGAUACGGCCCAGACUCCUACGGGAGGCAGCAGUGGGGAAUAUUGCACAAUGGGCGGAAGCCUGAUGCAGCAACGCCGCGUGCGGGAUGACGGCCUUCGGGUUGUAAACCGCUUUCGCCUGUGACGAAGCGUGUGUGACGGUAAUGGGUAAAGAAGCACCGGCUAACUACGUG